Molecule: ribosomal RNA, 433 nt
Filed under: uncultured bacterium
Lineage: Bacteria
Description: partial 16S ribosomal RNA
Rfam family: Bacterial small subunit ribosomal RNA
Source: RNAcentral
AACGAACGCUGGCGGCAUGCCUAACACAUGCAAGUCGAACGAGACCUUCGUGUCUAGUGGCGCACGGGUGCGUAACGCGGGGGAACCGGCCGGUAGGUUCGGAAUAACUCCCCGAAAGGGGUGCUAAUGCCGGAUAAUUUCUUCGGACCAAAGAUUUAUCGACUUUGGAUGGGCCCGAGUUGGAUUAACUAGUUGGUAGGGUAAACGCCUACCAAGGCGACGAUCCAUAGCUGGUCAGAGAGGAUGAUCAGCCACUCUGGGACUGAGACACGGCCCAGAAUCUUAGGCGAGGCAGCAGUGGGGAAUAUUGGACAAUCGGCGAAAGCCUGAUCGAGUAAGGCCGCGUGAGUGAUGAAGUUCGUAGGGUUGUAAAGCUCUUUUACCCGGGAUGAUAAUGACAGUACCGGGAGAAUAAGCUCCGGCUAACUCCGUG